CCCAAAGGGAGGCGGAACUUUUUCUUUCCCAGCCGAGUUAGCAGACAAGUCCUAGUGCAACUAGGAAGGACGGUAGGAAGUUUCGAACGCCCACAUUCAAACUGGGAAAAUGGCACCAAGCACACAAGUGAAUGAAGCGGUGUCCGACGUACGGAAGGGGAUUCGAGCUAUCCUGCUCGGACCUCCUGGCGCUGGGAAAGGGACACAGGCUCCCAGAUUGGCCGAGCAGUACUGUGUGUGUCAUCUGGCCACAGGAGACAUGCUCAGAGCCAUGGUGGCCUCAGGCUCUGAGUUGGGUAAGAGACUCAAAGAGACCAUGGAUGCUGGAAAACUGGUCAGUGAUUCCAUGGUGGUUGAACUCAUAGAGAAUAACCUAGACACGGUCCCUUGUAAAAAUGGAUUUCUGUUGGAUGGAUUCCCCCGUACUGUCAAACAAGCAGAGAUGCUUGACGAGUUGUUGGAGAAGCGGACAGAGAAGCUGGACUCUGUGGUGGAGUUCUCUGUUGAUGACUCUCUUCUGGUGCGCAGGAUUUGUGGCAGACUCAUUCACCAGCCUAGUGGUCGUUCCUACCAUGAGGAGUUCAACCCACCCAAGGAGCGCAUGAAGGAUGAUGUGACCGGGGAGCCGCUGAUGCGCCGCAGUGAUGACAACGAGGCAACGCUGCAUUCUCGUCUGGAGGCCUACCACCGCCAGACUGUGCCCCUGGUGCAGUACUACAGCACCCGCGGCAUCCACACGGCCGUGGACGCCGCCCAGUCACCUGACGUUGUCUUCGCCUCCAUCCUCGCUGCCUUCUCUGCCUCCAGCCCUGCCUGUAAAGACCUGGUGCUCUUCAUCUAAACUCCCCUCCUCUUCCUCGCUCCCCGUUUCCUCCGUAUCUCAUCCCAGCUCCUCUCUGCCUCUAAACUCCCAACCUUCUCUUUCCCUCCAUUUUCUCUUCUGUCACUUGGACCAUCUACUCCAGGCUCCUCAAGACCCAGCACUUUUUAAAGGAACUUGUGGUCUACAGCUAGAAGCUAGACUAUAUUGGUUACUUUUACUGCUAUAUUUAAUGAUGCUCUUUUUCCCUGUGGCCUCAUUGGGCUUGUGGUACUUAUCACAUUGACAUGUCAUUGUGAGAACCACUGACACGUUGUAUAAAUAUUUAACAUGCUGUGAUUCCUCGACUCAGGAAUGCUGAGUUUGCAAGUGUAUUGUGAGCUCAUCUUUCGCACCUUAAGUGUGUGUGUGCUCUAUGGCAGAUGUAAGAUAGUUCCAUUGUUUUCUUUGGUCUGUUAACUGAAGUUCCUGUUGACCACAUGUCAACAUGUCCUGUGUUUUCAUCCAAUUACAGACUGAUCUGCUGUGGGCUUUUCUUUUUUGCACUCCCUUCCAAUAGUUACCCUGAAUGUAUUUGAUUGACAUCUUGGAUGUAGACUGUAAAACUGCUCAGAUGUUAACCUACCUGUCAGUCACCUCUCAGUAUAAAGCUAUUUUGGGUAUGUCUUGUUUAAACCUAGAUUAGCCAAGUUGUACACUUUGCGUUGAGUGAUGCUUCCCUCAAAAUCUUUUGGACACUAUUGGUUAGUAAUUCUUAAUGUGCUAAACCAUGUGGUAUAGGUUUCUGUGUAAA
This is an RNA transcript of Osmerus eperlanus (European smelt), 1613 nucleotides long. It is a transcript of the gene named adenylate kinase 2, with no coding region annotated. The transcript is spliced from 7 exons. NCBI's taxonomy places the organism in Eukaryota, Metazoa, Chordata, Actinopteri, Osmeriformes, Osmeridae. The record is from RefSeq and is a predicted model, not a curated record.